This is a non-coding RNA of Erinaceus europaeus (western European hedgehog), 59 nucleotides long. The record is from Rfam. NCBI's taxonomy places the organism in Eukaryota, Metazoa, Chordata, Mammalia, Eulipotyphla, Erinaceidae.
CUCUGUAAAACUUUUCCUAUGCUGGGUAGUAAAAGACACCUUGUUACCUGAAUGGACAG